GAGUUUGAUCUUGGCUCAGAUUGAACGCUGGCGGCGUGCUUAACACAUGCAAGUCGAGCGGUAACAGGCGUAGCAAUACGUGCUGACGAGCGGCGGACGGGUGAGUAAUGCUUGGGAAUCUUCCCAGUAGUGGGGAAUAACCAGCCGAAAGGUUGGCUAAUACCGCAUACGUCUACUUCUCUUACUGAGAGGUAGGGAAAGCGGGGGACCGUAAGGCCUCGCGCUGUUGGACGAGCCCAAGUCGGAUUAGCUAGUUGGCGGGGUAACGGCCCACCAAGGCGACGAUCCGUAGCUGGUCUGAGAGGACGACCAGCCACACUGGGACUGAGACACGGCCCAGACUCCUACGGGAGGCAGCAGUGGGGAAUAUUGGACAAUGGGGGGAAAACCCUGGAUCCAGCGACGCCGCGUGUGUG
RNAcentral lists this ribosomal RNA (416 nucleotides) under uncultured Gammaproteobacteria bacterium. RNAcentral describes it as "bacterial SSU rRNA". It matches the Rfam family "Bacterial small subunit ribosomal RNA", at positions 9 to 407 of the family's 1533-position model. Lineage: Bacteria; Pseudomonadati; Pseudomonadota; Gammaproteobacteria. The record is from RNAcentral.